RNAcentral lists this ribosomal RNA (429 nucleotides) under Chloroflexota bacterium. RNAcentral describes it as "Chloroflexi bacterium partial 16S ribosomal RNA". It matches the Rfam family "Bacterial small subunit ribosomal RNA", at positions 355 to 776 of the family's 1533-position model. Lineage: Bacteria; Bacillati; Chloroflexota. The record is from RNAcentral.
UGGGGAAUAUUGCACAAUGGGCGCAAGCCUGAUGCAGCCAUGCCGCGUGUGUGAAGAAGGCCUUCGGGUUGUAAAGCACUUUCAGCGGGGAGGAAGGCGAUAAGGUUAAUAACCUUGUCGAUUGACGUUACCCGCAGAAGAAGCACCGGCUAACUCCGUGCCAGCAGCCGCGGUAAUACGGAGGGUGCAAGCGUUAAUCGGAAUUACUGGGCGUAAAGCGCACGCAGGCGGUCUGUCAAGUCGGAUGUGAAAUCCCCGGGCUUAACCUGGGAACUGCAUUCGAAACUGGCAGGCUAGAGUCUUGUAGAGGGGGGUAGAAUUCCAUGUGUAGCGGUGAAAUGCGUAGAGAUGUGGAGGAAUACCGGUGGCGAAGGCGGCCCCCUGGACAAAGACUGACGCUCAGGUGCGAAAGAGUGGGGAGCAAACAGG